Molecule: ribosomal RNA, 253 nt
Filed under: uncultured bacterium
Lineage: Bacteria
Description: partial 16S ribosomal RNA
Rfam family: Bacterial small subunit ribosomal RNA
Source: RNAcentral
UACGUAGGAUGCAAGCGUUGUUCGGAAUUACUGGGCGUAAAGAGUACGUAGGCGGUCUGGCAAGUCUGAUAUUAAAGACUGGAGCUUAACUCCAGGACUGUAUCGGAAACUGCCAAACUAGAGGACAAUAGAGGAAGUCGGAAUUCUCAGUGUAGCGGUGAAAUGCGUAGAUAUCAGGAGGAACACCGGUGGCGAAGGCGGGAUCCUGGGCCAGUACUGACGCUGAGGAGCGAAAGCGUGGGGAGCAAACAGG